This 492-nucleotide ribosomal RNA is filed under the name uncultured bacterium. RNAcentral describes it as "partial 16S ribosomal RNA". It matches the Rfam family "Bacterial small subunit ribosomal RNA", at positions 29 to 507 of the family's 1533-position model. The record is from RNAcentral.
CGUGCACGCUGGCGGUAGGCCUAACACAUGCAAGUCGAACGGCAGCACAGUAAGAGCUUGCUCUUACGGGUGGCGAGUGGCGGACGGGUGAGGAAUACAUCGGAAUCUACUUUUUCGUGGGGGAUAACGUAGGGAAACUUACGCUAAUACCGCAUACGACCUACGUGUGAAAGCAGGGGAUCUUCGGAACUUGCGCGAUUGAAUGAGCCGAUGUCGGAUUAGCUAGUUGGCGGGGUAAAGGCCCACCAAGGCGACGAUCCGUAGCUGGUCUGAGAGGAUGAUCAGCAACACUGGAACUGAGAUCAGGACACGACUCUUCCGGGGGGAAGCAGUGGGGAUUAUUGGACAAUGGGGGCAUGCCUGCUCCAGCCAUACCGCGUGGGUGAAGAAGCCCUUGGGGUUGUAAAGCCCUUUUGUUGGGAAAGAAAAGCAGCAGGUUAAUACCCCGCUGUUCUGACGGUACCCAAAGAAUAAGCACCGGCUAACUUCGUG